RNAcentral lists this ribosomal RNA (253 nucleotides) under uncultured bacterium. RNAcentral's name for it is "partial 16S ribosomal RNA". It matches the Rfam family "Bacterial small subunit ribosomal RNA", at positions 524 to 776 of the family's 1533-position model. The record is from RNAcentral.
UACGAAGGGUGCAAGCGUUAAUCGGAAUUACUGGGCGUAAAGCGUGCGCAGGCGGUUAUGUAAGACAGAUGUGAAAUCCCCGGGCUCAACCUGGGAACUGCAUUUGUGACUGCAUCGCUGGAGUGCGGCAGAGGGGGAUGGAAUUCCGCGUGUAGCAGUGAAAUGCGUAGAUAUGCGGAGGAACACCGAUGGCGAAGGCAAUCCCCUGGGCCUGCACUGACGCUCAUGCACGAAAGCGUGGGGAGCAAACAGG